UACAGAGGGUGCAAGCGUUAAACGGAAUUACUGGGCGUAAAGCGCACGUAGGCGGUUUUUUAAGUCAGAUGUGAAAGCCCCGGGCUCAACCUGGGAAUUGCAUUUGAAACUGGGAAACUAGAGUGUGUGAGAGGGGGGUAGAAUUCCAAGUGUAGCGGUGAAAUGCGUAGAGAUUUGGAGGAAUACCAGUGGCGAAGGCGGCCCCCUGGCACAACACUGACGCUCAGGUGCGAAAGCGUGGGGAGCAAACAGG
Molecule: ribosomal RNA, 253 nt
Filed under: uncultured bacterium
Lineage: Bacteria
Description: partial 16S ribosomal RNA
Rfam family: Bacterial small subunit ribosomal RNA
Source: RNAcentral